UCGAGGAUUAUUCGCAAUGGGGGAAACCCUGACGAUGCGACGCCGUGUGAACGAAGAAGGCCUUAGGGUUGUAAAGUUCUUUCGCCUGAGAACAAGGCUUAAUUGUAAAUAAUGAUUAAGUCUGAGUGUAUUAGGUAAAGAAGCACUGGCUAACUCCGUGCCAGCAGCUGCGGUAAUACGGAGGGUGCAAGCAUUAAUCGGAUUAACUGGGCGUAAAGGGCGCGUAGGUGGCUUUAUAAGUCCUGUGUGAAAUUCUACAGCUCAACUGUAGAGCGGCAUGGGAAACUAUAUGGCUAGAGGCUAAGCGGAGAAAAUGGAAUUCCACAAGUAGCGGUGAAAUGCGUAGAUAUGUGGAAGAACACCGGAGGCGAAAGCGUUUUUCUAGCUUAGAACUGACACUGAGGCGCGAGAGCAAGGGGAGCAAACAGG
This 429-nucleotide ribosomal RNA is filed under the name uncultured bacterium. RNAcentral describes it as "bacterial SSU rRNA". It matches the Rfam family "Bacterial small subunit ribosomal RNA", at positions 355 to 776 of the family's 1533-position model. The record is from RNAcentral.